CUACCACAUCCAAGGAAGGCAGCAGGCGCGCAAAUUACCCACUCCCGGAACGGGGAGGUAGUGACGAAAAAUAACAAUACGGGACUCUUUUGAGACCCCGUAAUUGGAAUGAGUACACUCCAAACCCUUUAACGAGGACCCAUCAGAGGGCAAGUCUGGUGCCAGCCGCCGCGGUAAUUCCAGCUCUGAUAGCGUAUAUUAAAGUUGUUGCGGUUAAAAAGCUCGUAGUUGGAUCUCAGUUCCCGACGGGCGGUCCGCCUACCGGCGGUCACUGCCCGGUCGGAACAGCACGGCCGGUUUCCCCCGAUGAUCUUCACCGGUUGUCUCGGGUGACCGGCAAGUUUACUUUGAAAAAAUUAGAGUGCUCAACGCAGGCGCGACGCCUGGAUAAUGGUGCAUGGAAUAAUGGAAUAGGACCUCGGUUCUAUUUUGUUGGUUUUCGGAACACGAGGUAAUGAUUAAGAGGGACAGACGGGGGCAUUCGUAUUGCGACGCUAGAGGUGAAAUUCUUGGACCGUCGCAAGACGAACUACUGCGAAAGCAUUUGCCAAGAAUGUUUCCAUUAAUCAAGAACGAAAGUUAGAGGUUCGAAGGCGAUCAGAUACCGCCCUAGUUCUAACCAUAAACGAUGCCAGCCAGCGAUCCGGCUGCGUUCCUCAAAUGACGCGCCGGGCAGCUUCCGGGAAACCAAAGCCUUUGGGUUCCGGGGGAAGUAUGGUU
Molecule: ribosomal RNA, 720 nt
Filed under: Micropholcomma longissimum
Lineage: Eukaryota; Metazoa; Arthropoda; Arachnida; Araneae; Micropholcommatidae
Description: SSU rRNA
Rfam family: Eukaryotic small subunit ribosomal RNA
Source: RNAcentral